CGGGUGGUUGUGGUGGGUUUAGUUGUAGGUGGGUGGUGGGUGGCUGUGGUGUUAAGGUCGGUUGCAGGUGGGUGGUCGGAGAAUCGAUGCCGGAGAAUCGAUGUAAAGGUCGGUUGCAGGUUUGUUUUUGGGGAUUAAGGUGGGUGGUCGGAGAAUCGAUGCCGGAUAUGUUUGGUAACUUUUCGUUUGUCUUGCUGUUCAAGUGGAUUGUUUCGUUUCUGUUUUGGAGGAGAGCAAGUCAAAGCAAAUAGGCAGAUACAUGUUUGCUAUGUCUGACCAGAAAUUGCUGGCUUGUAAGGUUUUCUUGAACAUAGCUCGAUGCAUGAAUGUAAUGUGGUGGCGGUGGCGGU
Long non-coding RNA from Helianthus annuus (common sunflower), 350 nucleotides. RefSeq lists it as uncharacterized. Lineage: Eukaryota; Viridiplantae; Streptophyta; Magnoliopsida; Asterales; Asteraceae. The transcript has 4 exons. The record is from RefSeq and is a predicted model, not a curated record.